This 253-nucleotide ribosomal RNA is filed under the name uncultured bacterium. Its description in RNAcentral is "partial 16S ribosomal RNA". It matches the Rfam family "Bacterial small subunit ribosomal RNA", at positions 524 to 776 of the family's 1533-position model. The record is from RNAcentral.
CACGUAGGGCGCGAGCGUUGUCCGGAUUUAUUGGGCGUAAAGAGCGUGUAGGCGGUCAGGUAGGUCCGUUGUGAAAACUCGAGGCUCAACCUCGAGACGCCGAUGGAAACCAUCUGACUAGAGUCCGGAAGAGGAGAGUGGAAUUCCUGGUGUAGCGGUGAAAUGCGCAGAUAUCAGGAAGAACACCCGUGGCUAAGGCGGCUCUCUAGUACGGUACUGACGCUGAGACGCGAAAGCGUGGGGAGCGAACAGG